GUCGUGUACAAACUAAAAUCUAAACAAAAUUAUCUUCAUUAACUUAUGCAUUUCAGUAGUCAUUACAGCUGAAGAAAUACCUGAUACAGCAAAGAUAAACAGAGAACUUUGAGAAUGAGCUUUAAGCAGCACCAAGCUAACAGGUACAGCACAGAUCAGCAGUAAAAUCAAGUCACACAGCUUCCAAAAAUUCAGCAAUUUCAGCUUUUUUAAACCAUCUUUACCUAGAUAAAACAAGAGUUCUUUUAAGCUUUUUGAAUUCCAAUUGACACUCAAGACUAGGAACAAAUCCAGAACCAAUUUCCACCCCAAAAAAAGAUGUAGAAAUUUCAAUGCAUUUUCAAAAUCACUCCCUCAGCCGUUUGUGCUUUUCAGUACUUUUUAAUCCAUCCAAAUUUGGCUUGUGUAUGAAGAAACAGUCCUUUUAUAAGGAGCUUUUAGGGUAGCAUAAAGUGAGUCAGUUUAUUGCCCUUAAAUCCCUUUCCAAUUCUCAUGUUUGCUAUUGUGCCCUUAAUUUAAAAUCAGUUUUUUAGAGUUGCCCUUAACCCUCCUUCUAGGAAGCUUUCUAAAUCAGUUAUAAUAGAUUCCUUAUGCUAAAUUACCCAAAAUACUCUUUAAACCCCUGCUUUUUACUUCAAAAAUCAAAUGGGUCAAAUUGACCUUUAAGUAAAUAGGAUGUUCUUUGAACAUGAGUCGGAAUUGAACCCAGGGCCCAAACAACAACUGAUCCAACUAGAUUCUGAUUUUACAAAGAGCAGAAGGAAACAAACACUUAUUUGAAAACUAAAAUUUAACUACGCGACUGAUUAAUUACAUAAUCAAGCACAGAGUGAAUUAGGUUAUUAAAUCGAAAUGACCUAAUUAAAUUAAACUUAUGAGACUAAAACAAAAGGCAAAAUCAGAGGUUCAAGCAUGUCAUUAACAAAAUCAGAGAAUAGACCUUUAAACCUCGAAAAGAAAACUGAACAACAAAAUGAACACAAAAAUUAAUCUAGGGAAAAAACCUAAGUUCAGAAUCUUGCUCGAAUUUCAGUCAAAGCGAGAAAACUAACUAAAGAAAGGAGAAGAAAAGAAGAGGGAUAAGAGGUGAAGUGAGCAAAUACGGACAGAAGAAGAAGAAAAGAAAAAAGAAAAUUUACCCAGUAAAACUCGAAACAACAUUGGACAUCUUGAUUUAAACGAAAUUGAUGCUAACCACUUGUUCUUUGUCAAGAACAAAUGAGCAGUAUCAAUUCACGUUGAAUCAACUUCAAAUUUGAAAGAACGGAGGCUUAUGGUCAUGCAUGCCAUGGAAUCAAACGGAGUCGAUUUUGGGCUUUAGGGCUCCAAACUUAGAUUUAAGAUUUGGACGGAUUGGGUAGUCUUUGGGUAAAACUAAUGGUGGACUCGGAAUGGGGAAACAACGGGGGUUAUAUGGUCAAGAUUUGGUGGAGUUUGGAGAUCCACCGCCACCAGUGGAGAAUUCCGGUGGGUGGUGGGCGGCGGUGAAGAUAAAGAGGCGAGAGAGAGAAGAUGAAGC
This 1519-nucleotide long non-coding RNA is filed under the name Nicotiana tabacum (common tobacco). RNAcentral describes it as "long non-coding RNA (NTAB_LNC010042)". The record is from RNAcentral. Lineage: Eukaryota; Viridiplantae; Streptophyta; Magnoliopsida; Solanales; Solanaceae.